Long non-coding RNA from Telopea speciosissima, 332 nucleotides. RefSeq lists it as uncharacterized. The record is from RefSeq and is a predicted model, not a curated record. Lineage: Eukaryota; Viridiplantae; Streptophyta; Magnoliopsida; Proteales; Proteaceae. The transcript is spliced from 3 exons.
UCAGCUAUGGCCCUGAUGAGGGUCUUCCACAUAAAAGAAUUGGGGUCGCCAGUGUUGUGGAAGAGCUUUAGAGCGUAAUUAAGAUCGCCCGAAGGGGAGAGAGCACAAAAUGAGAUGAGACGACUAGCGGCGUAGUUAGUGGAUGCGAGCGGAGACGAUCAUCUGGGCAUGGAUUUGUUUGAGUUGGUCCAUGGAUGUGCAUUUGUCUGCAAGGAAGGAGAGUUGCGGUGGUUUUGUUGGUUUGGGUGGUGAAAGAGGAAGUGGAGAUGGAGCAUGGGAAUGGAACGGGAGGGAGUGGAAGCAGCAGAGAGAGUGCAUGAAGUUGCAGAGAA